UUCUCGGGCGGGGAUUAGUGGCGAACGGGUGAGUAACACGUGGGCAAUCUGCCCUGCACUCUGGGACAAGCCCUGGAAACGGGGUCUAAUACCGGAUAUGACUGUCCAUCGCAUGGUGGAUGGUGUAAAGCUCCGGCGGUGCAGGAUGAGCCCGCGGCCUAUCAGCUUGUUGGUGAGGUAGUGGCUCACCAAGGCGACGACGGGUAGCCGGCCUGAGAGGGCGACCGGCCACACUGGGACUGAGACACGGCCCAGACUCCUACGGGAGGCAGCAGUGGGGAAUAUUGCACAAUGGGCGAAAGCCUGAUGCAGCGACGCCGCGUGAGGGAUGACGGCCUUCGGGUUGUAAACCUCUUUCAGCAGGGAAGAAGCGAAAGUGACGGUACCUGCAGAAGAAGCGCCGGCUAACUACGUGCCAGCAGCCGCGGUAAUACGUAGGGCGCAAGCGUUGUCCGGAAUUAUUGGGCGUAAAGAGCUCGUAGGCGGCUUGUCACGUCGGUUGUGAAAGCCCGGGGCUUAACCCCGGGUCUGCAGUCGAUACGGGCAGGCUAGAGUUCGGUAGGGGAGAUCGGAAUUCCUGGUGUAGCGGUGAAAUGCGCAGAUAUCAGGAGGAACACCGGUGGCGAAGGCGGAUCUCUGGGCCGAUACUGA
Molecule: ribosomal RNA, 651 nt
Filed under: Streptomyces sp.
Lineage: Bacteria; Bacillati; Actinomycetota; Actinomycetes; Kitasatosporales; Streptomycetaceae
Description: bacterial SSU rRNA
Rfam family: Bacterial small subunit ribosomal RNA
Source: RNAcentral